UAUCCUACGGGGAGCAGCAGUCGAGAAUCAUUCACAAUGGGGGAAACCCUGAUGGUGCGACGCCGCGUGGGGGAAUGAAGGUCUUAGGAUUGUAAACCCCUGUCAUGUGGGAGCAAAUUAAAAAGAUAGAACCACAAGAGGAAGAGACGGCUAACUCUGUGCCAGCAGCCGCGGUAAUACAGAGGAGUCAAGCGUUGUUCGGAAUCACUGGGCGUAAAGCGUGCGGAGGAUGUUUCGUAAGUCGUGUGUGAAAGGCGAGGGCUCAACACGCGGACGGAACAUGAGACUGCGAGACUAGAGUAAUG
Molecule: ribosomal RNA, 305 nt
Filed under: uncultured bacterium
Lineage: Bacteria
Description: bacterial SSU rRNA
Rfam family: Bacterial small subunit ribosomal RNA
Source: RNAcentral